This 1148-nucleotide long non-coding RNA is filed under the name Chloebia gouldiae (Gouldian finch). RNAcentral describes it as "Erythrura gouldiae (Gouldian finch) lncRNA (ENSEGOG00005006294.1)". Lineage: Eukaryota; Metazoa; Chordata; Aves; Passeriformes; Passeridae. The record is from RNAcentral.
CUUUGCUGAAUGGGUGUGGGCAGCAAACCCAUGCAGAGGCUGUUAGUAAUCCUCACAGGCUCUGAUGUGGUCACACUGAACCGGAGACUUUGUGUUAUAUGUGAAUGCAUUGGCUUUACUUUCUAAUAUUUGGCUGGCUUUGUAAACCAUCUUCCUUUCUCCCCGCUCUUGUUUUCUCUCAUGAAGGCACCAUUUCUUGUUGGUUUUGGACUGUUUUUGUGACUAGAGAAGAAUGUAGGCUUCUCAGAAGCACAUGAGCUGUUUUGCUCUUCAGUAGUGUCCCUGCUCUGCUCAUAGACAGAGGAGAGCUGGGUGGACAGGAUCAGUCAGGAGGCUAAGGACAGGCAUGAAAGAAAGCCUCUGAAGCAGGAUGGAGUGGCAGAAAGGCUGCUUUUUCUCAAGGGAUCUGUGAAAUGAGGCAAUCCUGCUGUCAUUUCUGCAGCAGUUUGGUUGCAGUUAGCUGUGCUGUGCCCUGCAUCAGCCUCCAGAGAGCCUGUGUCACAGGACAGGAGACCUUUCAGCUGGAGAAGUCAGCCACUGUUCAAGCUUGACCCAGAUUCUGAGGCUUUCAUCUGGAGAGCUUCCUCACUGAUUUUCAGUCUUGGCUGUGUGAGUUUGUCUCCAGACCAGUCUGGGAAUGUAAGAGCUGGGGAAUCAUCUGACUCUUGCUGGAAGCAAGAGCACCCACUGGGAGCUGUUCUACCAGAUGCUGGUGAGGACAAAGAUGUUGGGAGGAUGUUGAAGAGGAAAAGAAUGAUGACAAUGAAUGAUGACCUGCAGCUGUUGGUUAACCAAUCUCAUUUGGAAAGAAGGCCCAUAGCAAGAGGAUCCUGUUAAUAACUCCAGUGUCUGGAUGCUGGCAGGACUGGGGUUUGCAUGAGUGGUGAAAUGGUGAAAUCAUGCCUAAACUCUGUUCCGAAGCUGGGGAGGCAGAGGUAUUGUGAAGCUUUUGUUCCCCGUGAAGUUUUGGAUAUGUUUGCCAGCAGAAAUCAAAUGUGAGCAUUUCCAAUUGUUGGGUGAAAGGUCCUUAAGUGAAACUAUUGCUCACUAAAGUGAAAAAUUUGCCUGUUCCCUCUAAAAUUGCCAUCUUGUUUCCAGACCUAUAAGGUGCAUGUCCUAGGAAUAGAAUAAAAUGUAAGUUGACCACA